RNAcentral lists this ribosomal RNA (253 nucleotides) under uncultured bacterium. RNAcentral's name for it is "partial 16S ribosomal RNA". It matches the Rfam family "Bacterial small subunit ribosomal RNA", at positions 524 to 776 of the family's 1533-position model. The record is from RNAcentral.
UACGGGGGGGGCAAGCGUUAAUCGGAAUUACUGGGCGUAAAGGGCGCGUAGGCGGAUAAUUAAGUUAGGUGUGAAAUCCCUGGGCUUAACCUGGGAACUGCAUUUAAUACUGGUUAUCUAGAGUAGAGUAGAGGGAAGUGGAAUUUCCGGUGUAGCGGUGAAAUGCGUAGAUAUCGGAAAGAACAUCAGUGGCGAAAGCACUCUGCUGGGCCGACACUGACACUGAGAGACGAAAGCUAGGGGAGCGAAUGGG